CAGCCGCCGCGGGAAUACGAAGGGUGCAAGCGUUAAUCGGAAUUACUGGGAGUAAAGGGCGCGUAGGUGGUUAUUUAAGUGAGAUGUGAAAGCCCCGGGCUUAACCUGGGAACUGCAUCUUAUACUGGGUAACUGGAGUGCAGUAGAGGGUAGUGGAAUUUCCGGUGUAGCGGUGAAAUGCGUAGAUAUCGGAAGGAACACCAGUGGCGAAGGCGGCUACCUGGACUGAGACUGACACUGAGGCGCGAGAGCGUGGGGAGCAAACAGGAUUAGAUACCCGAGCAGUCCCUGUCUCUUAUAC
RNAcentral lists this ribosomal RNA (301 nucleotides) under uncultured bacterium. Its description in RNAcentral is "partial 16S ribosomal RNA". It matches the Rfam family "Bacterial small subunit ribosomal RNA", at positions 509 to 807 of the family's 1533-position model. The record is from RNAcentral.